GCAGCCGCGGUAAUACGUAUGGGGCAAGCGUUAUCCGGAAUUAUUGGGCGUAAAGAGUGCGUAGGUGGUUACCUAAGCGCAAGGUUUAAUCUUGAGGCUCAACCUCAUUCUGCCUUGCGAACUGGGCUACUUGAGUGCUGGAGGGGAAAGCGGAAUUCCCAGUGUAGCGGUGAAAUGCGUAGAUAUUGGGAAGAACACCGGUGGCGAAGGCGGCUUUCUGGACAGUAACUGACACUGAGGCACGAAAGCGUGGGGAGCAAACAGGAUUAGAUACCCC
Molecule: ribosomal RNA, 277 nt
Filed under: uncultured Mogibacterium sp.
Lineage: Bacteria; Bacillati; Bacillota; Clostridia; Peptostreptococcales; Anaerovoracaceae
Description: partial 16S ribosomal RNA
Rfam family: Bacterial small subunit ribosomal RNA
Source: RNAcentral